UACAGAGGGUGCAAGCGUUAAUCGGAAUUACUGGGCGUAAAGCGCGCGUAGGUGGUUCGUUAAGUUGGAUGUGAAAGCCCCGGGCUCAACCUGGGAACUGCAUUCAAAACUGACGAGCUAGAGUAUGGUAGAGGGUGGUGGAAUUUCCUGCGUAGCGGUGAAAUGCGUAGAUAUAGGAAGGAACACCGGUGGCGAAGGCGACUUCCUGGCCUGUUCUUGACGCUGAGGCGCGAAAGCUAGGGGAGCAAACGGG
Molecule: ribosomal RNA, 253 nt
Filed under: uncultured bacterium
Lineage: Bacteria
Description: partial 16S ribosomal RNA
Rfam family: Bacterial small subunit ribosomal RNA
Source: RNAcentral